This 253-nucleotide ribosomal RNA is filed under the name uncultured bacterium. RNAcentral's name for it is "partial 16S ribosomal RNA". It matches the Rfam family "Bacterial small subunit ribosomal RNA", at positions 524 to 776 of the family's 1533-position model. The record is from RNAcentral.
GACGAACCGUGCGAACGUUGUUCGGAUUCACUGGGCUUAAAGCGCACGUAGGCGGCUAUUCAAGUCGGGGGUGAAAGCCCGGGGCUCAACCCCGGAACUGCCCUCGAAACUAGAUAGCUAGAAUCUUGGAGAGGCGAGUGGAAUUCCGAGUGUAGAGGUGAAAUUCGUAGAUAUUCGGAAGAACACCAGUGGCGAAGGCGACUCGCUGGACAAGUAUUGACGCUGAGGUGCGAAAGCGUGGGGAGCAAACAGG